This 504-nucleotide ribosomal RNA is filed under the name Triticum aestivum (bread wheat). RNAcentral describes it as "partial small subunit ribosomal RNA". Lineage: Eukaryota; Viridiplantae; Streptophyta; Magnoliopsida; Poales; Poaceae. The record is from RNAcentral.
AUGCAACAGUUGGUGUGGAAGAUCUGGGCUCCCCCCAAAUGCAAAUUCUUUGCUUGGCUUGUGAUCAAUAAUAGGAUAUGGACGGCCGACAGGCUCCAACACCGUGGAUGGCCUAACUGUGAUCGCUGCCCCCUCUGCAAGCAAGUUUAGGAAACCGCGGUUCACCUCCUUUUCCAAUGCCGCUACAUGGUUUGAGUUUGGGAAAUGAUCAAAUCUUGGCUUGGCUUGGUUGAUGUGAACCCUACAGCUUGGGUUAUGGUCCAUUCGGUGAAAGCCUGGUGGAACCUCAUUGACUCCAACGCAUCGUAGUCUCGACGGGCGAUGAUUUCUCUUAUUAUGUAGAUCUCAUGGGAAAUUUGGAACAAGAGGAAUGCACACGUCUUCCGUAACACCGCGGUACCGGUUGGGGUUCUUGUUGCAAGAAUCAAAGAUGUUUCAAUGUGUUGGUGCCUUACAGGGGCCAAAUAUUUGAGUACUGUAGUGCCGCGAGAUGACGUCUUGUAA